This 82-nucleotide transfer RNA is filed under the name bacterium. Its description in RNAcentral is "tRNA-Leu". It matches the Rfam family "tRNA". From Rfam's summary of the family: Transfer RNA (tRNA) molecules are approximately 80 nucleotides in length. Their secondary structure includes four short double-helical elements and three loops (D, anti-codon, and T loops). The record is from RNAcentral.
GCCGUGGUGGCGGAACUGGAAUACGCGUACGCCUCAGAAGCGUAUCCUGCAAGGGUUGAGGGUUCGAAUCCCUCCCACGGCA